Molecule: long non-coding RNA, 377 nt
Filed under: Vigna radiata
Lineage: Eukaryota; Viridiplantae; Streptophyta; Magnoliopsida; Fabales; Fabaceae
Description: long non-coding RNA (VRAD_LNC010536)
Source: RNAcentral
AUAUGUAGAAGAAAUUGAUCAUUCACUGACCUUGUGUUGGUUUGAAAUAAAUGUGAUUCCUGCACAAACAUCUUUUCCACCAAGGUCCUCAAUUAGAAGCUCCAAGAACCAAGUCCACGUCUCUUUGUUUUCUACCUCAACAACAACAUAUGCUAUGGGCAACAUUUGCUCGUUUCCAUCUCUUCCCACUGCUGUUAGUAACUCCCCUCCAUACUUGCCUUUCAAAAAGCAUCCAUCCAAUCCAAUAAUAGGUCUACAACAAACAAAGUUAUCCUUGCACGCCUUCAAGCAUGCAUAAAAUCUUUGGAAUAUGACCUCACCAUUAAUGUUAUCAACUUUAAUUUGAACUGUUGUACCUGGAUUUGUUUUCAGGAGCU